CGCAGGAAGGGAGCAGGGAAGGAUGCAAGGUAACUGUCUCCCUGGCUGUGCCGUCCUUCCAGGGUCUCUAAUCUAUGGAGGAGAAAGGGAGCAGGAAAAAGACGAAGGGCCAUCUUCAGGCUCGGCCUGAGCCACAGGCCUAGGACUCUGGAAAAAGGACCUUUGCUUGGAAUGUCCCAGCGCCCUAAGAACAGCAGCAGCACCGGAUGUAGUCUCUGCUUCCGGUUGUCAUCAGCCAAUGAGAGAAGGUUAAAGAGAACACUAGCGUUUUCCCACAGGAGAAUGCGAGUGCCCAGCAGCAAGGCAGCUGCUGUCCCCAGACCGGUUUCUGUCCAUGGGCGGCUGACACUCGCGGGGUGCUGGGCAUCCGCCUCACUGACGCCAUCUCGUGUCAUUACUGGAACACCACUGUGGGACACUACCGGCAGGGGAAAUCUGGGGCUCCCAACGGUGAAGCCCCUUCUCCCGCGUCUCUGGAGGAC
This 482-nucleotide long non-coding RNA is filed under the name Heterocephalus glaber (naked mole-rat). RNAcentral describes it as "lncRNA (ENSHGLG00000048715.1)". The record is from RNAcentral. Lineage: Eukaryota; Metazoa; Chordata; Mammalia; Rodentia; Bathyergidae.